GCGAGUGCGAGCUCCCUAUAUCCUGUGAACUGUCCUGUUGCUCCGGCGGGCUCGCCUGCCGGAGUCCACUAUAACUCUGUAUUUACUGUCUCUCUGAGCACCAAAAGAAAUCGUUG
Molecule: unclassified non-coding RNA, 116 nt
Filed under: soil metagenome
Description: partial internal transcribed spacer 1
Source: RNAcentral